UGUGUAUGUGUUUGUGUGUAUAUAUAGAUAUAUACAGUAUAUAUAUAUAUAUUUAUAAAUCACACACACACACACACG
Molecule: non-coding RNA, 78 nt
Organism: Podarcis lilfordi (Lilford's wall lizard)
Lineage: Eukaryota; Metazoa; Chordata; Lepidosauria; Squamata; Lacertidae
Source: the annotation of a GenBank genome assembly